Molecule: ribosomal RNA, 253 nt
Filed under: uncultured bacterium
Lineage: Bacteria
Description: partial 16S ribosomal RNA
Rfam family: Bacterial small subunit ribosomal RNA
Source: RNAcentral
UACGGAGGGUGCGAGCGUUGUCCGGAAUCACUGGGCGUAAAGGGCGCGUAGGUGGCGCGGGUAGUCAACGGUGAAAGUUCGGGGCUCAACCCUGAAUCGGCCGUCGAUACUCCCGUGCUUGAGCACUGUAGAGGCUAAUGGAAUUCCGGGUGUAGCGGUGGAAUGCGUAGAGAUCCGGAAGAACACCGGUGGCGAAGGCGGUUAGCUGGGCAGUUGCUGAUACUGAGGCGCGACAGCGUGGGGAGCAAACAGG